RNAcentral lists this unclassified non-coding RNA (1150 nucleotides) under Hevea brasiliensis (rubber tree). Lineage: Eukaryota; Viridiplantae; Streptophyta; Magnoliopsida; Malpighiales; Euphorbiaceae. The record is from RNAcentral.
GGGAAACAUAUGCUCCAUAAAAGGGGUAAAAACUCAUUACACAUAUCAAAGAGUAAACACCUUAGUAAAUGAGAAUGGAAAAAGAAACCAGUCGCUAUUUACUCUAUGUACCAUUUUAGAAUUCACCAAUGUUGGAAAGAAAGAGAAAAAGGAUGAAGAUGAUAUGAUGACCUCUGUUACGAUACGUUCUGAUCAACUUUUGAUUUCACGGCUGAGAGUAUCAGUUGUAGACACAAUCAUCUUGUGCUGAUCUGGGACCAUCACCGAAGUCACUGCAGGCACAAAAUUGUAGACAGGCUGGUCCAUGUAUUGGCCACCACCUGCAGCCACUACUCCCAACUGCCCAAACCCAGUGUGAUACCCACCAGUCAUCAGUGGUACCCCGUAAACCAUUUGCACCGCAUUACCAUAGGUCCCACCAUUCACGUGCCUUUCACGUAACCCUUGUGUGUAAUGAUUCUUCACCAACAAGCUGCUGCUGCUGCUGUCACCACAAACUAUUUUCGGAACUGCAAUCACGCCGCUUCCCUCAUUUUUUGACAUAUCUAAUCCUGAAUUUUCGGGGAAUUGCAAUUGGAGAAGAUCCUCUGUUGCCGUUGGACUCGGGUUCGGGUUGUAAUCCUUAUCGAAUCCGAAUAAAAAAUCCGGAUUCAACGGCGAUUCUGGUAAGCGAAUCGGGUAAAAGAGGAAAAGCCUUAACCUAGCCGGUUUAUUCGAAACUUUCUGCAUGCGAUCAUAUUCAACCAUCAUUUGCUCAACAUCGUCAUCAUCGAUAAGAGAAACCAGUGCAUCGAGAUCUUCGCCAGGCAACUGAUACUUCAUACAAACCUCCGCGUUGCAAUUACAGAGACAAUUCACCUUUGCAGCAACAUCAGAAAACUUGACGUUCCGAUCAACAGUGAGGAUUUUGGUAUCACCGCCAACAUAGGAGAGUUGAUGAUCGUGAGGACGAAGCUGGAUUUUUCCACCAUAGCUACACAUUAGCUUAACCUUUUGAUUCUCCAUUGCUGCUGCUGCCGCCGCCAAAAUUCAAGCGAGAAUAAGGGAGAAGACAGAGGGUUUGGUAUUUUGGGGAUUUUCUUUUUAUUAUUUUUAUGUUUAUAUGAGAGAGAGAGAGAUUAUUAUUAUGAGUGUAGUGCGGCGAUACAAG